Long non-coding RNA from Hibiscus syriacus, 353 nucleotides. RefSeq lists it as uncharacterized. NCBI's taxonomy places the organism in Eukaryota, Viridiplantae, Streptophyta, Magnoliopsida, Malvales, Malvaceae. The transcript is spliced from 3 exons. The record is from RefSeq and is a predicted model, not a curated record.
CAUUUCUUGUUCUCUUCUCAAAAGUCUACAAUGAUGUUUAAGAUAUGCUGAUAAUUUGUAUUAUUUUGGGUGGUCUUUUGAGAAUUGUAGUUAACAUUGCUCAUCGUUUGCUAUAUGAGAUGAAACUUCAAAACCAAGACAUAGCCUCCUUUCUUGCAAGAUUUAUGGUUUUGCUUCCUAAAUACUUUUAACAUUUUCUGUUAGCUUUAUUUUUUACUCGUACUUUCUCUUUGCAAAGAAAUGUCCUCUCAGUGGCUGCUUUUGCAUGUUAUUAUUAUUCUGGUUGUCAUCAACAGAACUUAUUGCAUCUACACUUUUUCCCUGAAAUUUGUUCUUUUUAACUAUGUGUUCAA